CUACGGGCUGCUGCAGUGGGGAAUAUUGCACAAUGGGCGCAAGCCUGAUGCAGCCAUGCCGCGUGUAUGAAGAAGGCCUUCGGGUUGUAAAGUACUUUCAGCGGGGAGGAAGGGAGUAAAGUUAAUACCUUUGCUCAUUGACGUUACCCGCAGAAGAAGCACCGGCUAACUCCGUGCCAGCAGCCGCGGUAAUACGGAGGGUGCAAGCGUUAAUCGGAAUUACUGGGCGUAAAGCGCACGCAGGCGGUUUGUUAAGUCAGAUGUGAAAUCCCCGGGCUCAACCUGGGAACUGCAUCUGAUACUGGCAAGCGUGAGUCUCGUAGAGGGGGGUAGAAUUCCAGGUAGCGGUGAAAUGCGUAGAGAUCUGGAGGAAUACCGGUGGCGAAGGCGGCCCCCUGGACGAAGACUGACGCUCAGGUGCGAAAGCGUGGGGAGCAAACAGGAUUAGAUACCCCCGUAGUC
RNAcentral lists this ribosomal RNA (462 nucleotides) under uncultured bacterium. RNAcentral describes it as "partial 16S ribosomal RNA". It matches the Rfam family "Bacterial small subunit ribosomal RNA", at positions 339 to 795 of the family's 1533-position model. The record is from RNAcentral.